CCGCAGUGGCCCUGGCUCGGGGUUGGAGGAGGAUGGGCGACGAGAGGUGCUAAGCACUGUGCCCGGCGGACUGCGCUCUUCCGCGGCGGGAGGACAGUGCACCACGCCCUGGGAAGAGCAGAGACCGCUGAAUCCACAAGUCAGGGACUACCAUUGGCAGAAAUCACAAAACGCAGGUGGACAUUUUUGAUAGGAUAAUAAAGUGCUGAUCCAGGAUCCUGAUGGAGUUGAGACCAAAGAUGAGCACUAAUACCAAAAUGAAAACUUUACCAUCUCUACCGUCACAAAGCACAAAGCGGCUGCUUUACUUAAAGCCGAAAAGGCUUAGCUUUUCAACAGGAUUUUCAAGGUCUCAGUUGAUCAAAGGGAAAGAUGACAUAGAUCAUUAUCUGGAGGUGAAUUUCAAAGGAUUGUCAAAACAAGAGGCUGCUCUAUACAGGAAUUCAUACAAGAAGAACAUCUGCAUAGAAAUGCUGCAAGAGGGUUAUCACAAGUCCUUCUCCGAGCUCACUUCUCUGAUAGAGAAGUGGAAUGCCUUGAGGGAGGCUGGAGGGCCUGGGUCAGCCAUAUGGCUCCAGACGUCCCUGGAGGAGCAGCCUCAUAAGCUGGAUCAGCUUCACCACUUCCUGACCAGGGCCGAGGCAGCCGAACGAUCAGAGAACUAUGAAGAAAUGUACAACAACUUACUUUCGCUGGCCCGUUGCUUUGACAAUUCUGAAGACAUAUGGUUAAGAAAUUAUUUUUAUGAACGUUGUUUUAAAACUGCUAAACUGAUCCAAAUUGAUGGUGGGAGAAAAGAAGCUGAAACACAUGCAAUCAUGGGCUUUGUCUGUGAAGAAAAAGGUCAAUUCACAGAAGCUGCUGAGCAUUAUGAAGCAUUCCAUCAACUGACAGAAGGGCGGAUGUGGAAGGAUGAGACGGGCCGUUCUCACAACUCGUUGGCCUGUGAAAAUCUCUGGAGGAUCUACACAAUACUAGCAGACAAAAUGCUGGAAAAUAAACAACACAAACCGGCCAUCAAAACUCUAAUAAAAGCUUUUGAAAUAGCAAAAAAAGGGGGACACAGAAAGAUGGAAGGAAAAGCUGCUUAUUGUUUGGGUUUGGCAUAUCACUCUUCCAAACUCUUUGAGACUGCAGUAACAAUUCUGAACACCUACAUAGAAAUCUCUACAGCAUUAGGCGACAAUGUUGGCCUAGGGAAAGGAUAUGAAGCUAUAGCCAAGGUCCUAGAAAGCCAAGGAAAGUUGACUGAAGCACUCGUUUACUUGGAAAAAUAUGUGAAAAUUGCAGAAAGCAGUAAUGAGUGCCAGAGUAUAGUGGAAGGAUGUACAAUGCUUGGAGAGAUUUACAGUGCACAAGGGUUCUAUGACAAAGCCUGCGAAUAUUUCAGGAAGGCUUUUGAUACAGCAAAGAGCUUGGGAAACUCACCUCUGGUGGAUGAAACAAAAGUUAAUUUUGGCAUCGCAAAAGCUCAUCAGAUGAUGGCAACAUUUAACCGUUACAUAGAGCCUGAAGAUCAUACCAGCCUUCAGUACCUACUGAAAUGGAAGGAGAACAGAAGUGACCUGCCUGCUGACCCUGUUACAGAUGGUGCCGAAUAUCCUGGCUGUUGUUGAAGCAGAACUUUGGUGGUUUUUUUUCUUCUCCCUCCCUUUGCUACCCACCUUCUGGACGGUCCGGUAUUCUUGAGAAGAAUCCUAGAAAAAGCAGUAGACGGGCUGCAAUAGGCCUCUUUCCCAGAACUCCUAAGAGACACAUCUUAAAUGGAACUUUUGAAAUUCAGCCAAAGAUCAAAAAAAUGUUUAGAAUCUGCUUGGUCUUUGAGCCAUAAAAUGGGAUAGAGUAGGAAACAGGAUAAAAUAAGUAAGUAUGAUACUUAGGUCUUGGUGGGAUUAUGAAAUUCCUGUACAUCAAAAAAUAAUGGAUUAAAGCAUUUCUGAAUACAAGGAAAUAAAAUGCUGAAGAAAAUGUAAAGAAAAAUUAUGAUGAUUUAGUAAAAUGUGGCUUAUUAACAAUCAGCCCAUAUCUGUAAAAACCUGGUUGUUUUCUGCAGAAAUACAGUGGAUUACUUCAGUGCCACCAUAUUCUCUAGUGUUUGGCAAAUAAUCUAAGUAAAGCUAUGUCACCAAGAUUUCUUUUCCAGUAUAAAAGUACAUCUCCCACAACAAUUGACUCAUUGCCUUUCUGCUUAAAUUAUCUGCAGAACUCCCUCAGUUCUCCCUUUGGCUGUAAGAGAAUUGUCCUUAAGAAAAAUAAAAUGUAAUCAUUAUCUACAA
This is an RNA transcript of Ornithorhynchus anatinus (platypus), 2276 nucleotides long. It is a transcript of the gene named tetratricopeptide repeat domain 29, with no coding region annotated. The record is from RefSeq and is a predicted model, not a curated record. Lineage: Eukaryota; Metazoa; Chordata; Mammalia; Monotremata; Ornithorhynchidae. The transcript is spliced from 15 exons.